CCCUUUUAUCUCCAAUCAAAUGUGAUAAAAGAAAAUAAUAUGAAAUUAAAAGAAAAUAAAAAGAGAAAGGAAACUUACCAUUUUAUUUUGGUUAGGCUUUAUUGAGAGAAUUAAGAUAAAGGGGGAAUGAAAAAUUGGGAAGGGCCAUUCUUGCUCUUGGCUGUCGUGUUCUAGAGAGAGGAUAGAGAGAGAGAGUGUGGCGUGAUAAAGAGAGAGCGAGAAGAAGAAAGAAAGGAAGAAGAAGAAGACGAAGAAGUAGAAGGAGAAGAAGAAAAGAUCAAUCUUAGGAAAACCCCUAGGGUUUGAGCAAGGAGGUGGUCCUAGUUGGGUUCUUGAUUUCUAUCAAGAGAGGUAGCAAAUAGGUUUCUCUGUGGCAUGCGUGGUGAUGUGGGGAGUUCUGUCGUCCUGGUGUGUAUGGCAUGGGGCAUCAUAUGAACGAGAAACGAUAAACUUUAAACGCCAUUUUUAAUAAUGUUAUGUUUAAUGGGAUUUUCUUAAAAAAUUUCAGUGGGACUUGAACUUUUGUUUGUUUUAGUACUUUGCAUAAAACUAGUAUUUUCUUUUUAAACUUUUGGGCCCAAUUUGCAUAUUUUAAGUAAGACCCCACUGAAACCUUUAUAAUAAGUGGCUUUCUAUUAUAAACCAUUGAAAAUGUGAAUGUUUUAUU
Long non-coding RNA from Humulus lupulus (European hop), 667 nucleotides. RefSeq lists it as uncharacterized. The transcript is spliced from 3 exons. The record is from RefSeq and is a predicted model, not a curated record. Lineage: Eukaryota; Viridiplantae; Streptophyta; Magnoliopsida; Rosales; Cannabaceae.